This 414-nucleotide ribosomal RNA is filed under the name uncultured eukaryote. Its description in RNAcentral is "bacterial SSU rRNA". It matches the Rfam family "Eukaryotic small subunit ribosomal RNA", at positions 222 to 633 of the family's 1831-position model. The record is from RNAcentral.
CCAAUCCAUAGUAAAAGUGGUAUAAGGUGAUUCAUAGUAAGGUUGGAAAUCGUAUGGAGGCAACUCUGACGAUAUAUCAUUCAAAUUUCUGCCCUAUCAACUUUGGAUGGUAGUAUAGAGGACUACCAUGGUGAUAACGGGUAACGGAGAAUUAGGGGUUCGAUUCCGGAGAGGGAGCCUGAGAAAUGGCUACCACUUCUAAGGAGGGCAGCAGGCGCGCAAAUUACCCAAUCCUAAUACUGGGAGGUAGUGACAAUAAAUAACAAUGCUGGAGUUCAUACUCUGGUAAUUGGAAUGAGAACAAUUUAAACCCCUUAACGAGUAACCAUCAGAGGGCAAGUCUGGUGCCAGCAGCCGCGGUAAUUCCAGCUCUGAUAGCGUAUAUUAAAGUUGUUGCAGUUAAAAAGCUCGUAG